GGCUGUUAGUUACAGAGAGAGACCAGUGACAAGCUGUUAUUCCAGUUUUGGUUUUGUAUUGUUUUAUUUGCUUUUAAUUGCUGUAGGAUCCCACUGCUGUUGCAACCCACACUGGGCAUCUUAACGGUCAGAAAUCCCACGAAUUUUUAUUUUAUUUUACUUAAGACAGAGGGCAUGGAAAACAUUUUAACUGAUCCUGAUCUCGGAGCAAAAUCCUACUAUGAUGAGCGAGGCUUCCUCUCAGGCAGGCAACAUCUGAAGCGUGCAUUUCGGCCUCCCUUCCCCAGCCCAGCAAUAAGGCCUUGGAGGUGGUGAUUACAACAGAAAGAAGUACUUUUUUUGUGGGGGGGUACGAAUACCCCUAAACAUUUUGUGAAUCUGUACUUUUGUCCAUUUACUGUAUUUAUUUUUCCCGAUUUGGCCUGUCAAAUGGUGAUUUUCUGUAGUCAAAAUGAGAGUAUCCCUAAACAAGAUAAAAAGCACUGCCUGAAAGUAAAUCCCGUUGCGCACAGUGGAGCACCUAAAAUCGGAUUAUUGUAUUAUCACCAUCGCCCUGAGGCUUCCCCCAUCUUAGCCCGACGGAGGCUGCUCUCAGGAUGGGUGUGAAGUAAGGAGCACCAAGCCUACAAAAUUUGCAAGACUGAGUUGUCCACGAGUAGAAUUAGAGAACUAGAAAAAAUGGAGGAAGGGGGAAAAAGAAGAGGGGAUUGCUAAAUACUCUUCUCUGCAACCCCGGAAAGUUGGGAAAUCUUCUGGAACAGCGUUAAGAGAUCCAAUUACCUGAUGCAAGACCCAGGGGAGCCUGCAUUUGGGGCAUCAAGGAGCCUGCUUUUACACCUGCUUCACACUAGUCUCCUUCCUGGGAUCCUUAUAGAAGAGGAACUAUGGUAGGAUAGGCCAGAAGACAGCACAGUAAUAAACUCAAACUUGUGAAACUUA
Non-coding RNA from Podarcis muralis (Common wall lizard), 939 nucleotides. The record is from RefSeq and is a predicted model, not a curated record. Lineage: Eukaryota; Metazoa; Chordata; Lepidosauria; Squamata; Lacertidae.